ACGAGGACCUUUGACAGGCUGCGUAAGUGCGGAAGAAAUUGGAUAGAGGAGCUGCCGGCGGCUCUUUGGUCAAUCAGAACGACACCAAGUCGAGCCACCGGACAGACACCCUUUGCUCUAGUUUAUGGAGCAGAAGCAGUUAUCCCCACGGAACUCGUAUACGGGUCUCCUCGAGUGCUCGCUUAUGAUGAGCUCGAGCAAGAGCAACUGCGGCAAGAUGACGCACUGCUCCUUGAGGAGGGACGUCUCCAGGCUGCUGUACGAGCUGCUCGAUACCAGCAAGCCUUGCGUCGCUACCAUAGCCGCAAGGUCAAGGCCAGGAGUCUCGAGGAGGGCGACCUUGUUCUUCGGCGUGUUCAGUCCGCCAAGAAUUCCAACAAGUUGACGCCGAAGUGGGAAGGCCCUUAUCGGGUGAGACAAGUCACGAGGCCCGGCGCUGUCCGCCUCGAGACCGAAGAAGGCUUACCGGUGAGCAACUCCUGGAACAUAGAGCAUAUUCGCAAGUUUCACCCAUAA
Molecule: ribosomal RNA, 516 nt
Filed under: Triticum aestivum (bread wheat)
Lineage: Eukaryota; Viridiplantae; Streptophyta; Magnoliopsida; Poales; Poaceae
Description: partial small subunit ribosomal RNA
Source: RNAcentral